Non-coding RNA from Myodes glareolus (Bank vole), 498 nucleotides. The record is from RefSeq and is a predicted model, not a curated record. Lineage: Eukaryota; Metazoa; Chordata; Mammalia; Rodentia; Cricetidae.
AGCCUUUACUCCCUGACUCAGGUGGACAGUUCUUUGUCCUCCUCUGACCCUCCCAAGUUAUUCCCCAAGCUCUCAAAUCUCAGGCUGGCAGCUUCGAUCUAGAAAGUAUAGUAAGCGAUGUGAUCCAAACUCGGAAAAACAAAGACCGCGUAUUUCUCACUCAGGUGCAGAUCCUCCUAGUCUGCAAUGGACAUAAAGUGGGAGUGUGGGUAAAGCCUAACAGACUAGAAAGGAGACCAAGAGAGGGUAAAAAGAGUUGUUGAGAAAAGAUCAAGCUGACUCAUGGCUUGAAGUUCAGAUUCAAAAAUCCACCCUGGUUCUUAGGAGGAGAUUGCUGUAAAAGCCAGUUCCGCUGUCUCGCUCCUGUUCCCGAUUCUCACCAUUAUGAUGGCUGUGGAGCCUUGGAACUCUGCCAGCACAAAGGCCCCAAAUGUUGUUCCUGUAACUUAAACUUCAACUGUGAACUAAAAUAAAUUUCUUUUUGUUAUAAUGUGCUCA